AAUAGAUACCCGGGUAGUCCACGCCGUAAACGGUGAGUGCUAAGCGUUAGAGGGUUUCCGCCCUUUAGUGCUGCAGCUAACGCAUUAAGCACUCCGCCUGGGGAGUACGGUCGUAAGACUGAAACUCAAAGGAAUUGCCGGGGGCCCGCACAAGCGGUGGAGCAUGUGGUUUAAUUCGAAGCAACGCGAAGAACCUUACCAGGUCUUGACAUCCUCUGACAACUCUAGAGAUAGAGCGUUCCCCUUCGGGGGACAGAGUGACAGGUGGUGCAUGGUUGUCGUCAGCUCGUGUCGUGAGAUGUUGGGUUAAGUCCCGCAACGAGCGCAACCCUUGAUCUUAGUUGCCAGCAUUUAGUUGGGCACUCUAAGGUGACUGCCGGUGACAAACCGGAGGAAGGUGGGGAUGACGUCAAAUCAUCAUGCCCCUUAUGACCUGGGCUACACACGUGCUACAAUGGAUGGUACAAAGGGCUGCAAGACCGCGAGGUCAAGCCAAUCCCAUAAAACCAUUCUCAGUUCGGAUUGUAGG
Molecule: ribosomal RNA, 529 nt
Filed under: uncultured bacterium
Lineage: Bacteria
Description: bacterial SSU rRNA
Rfam family: Bacterial small subunit ribosomal RNA
Source: RNAcentral